RNA transcript from Sapajus apella (tufted capuchin), 958 nucleotides. It is a transcript of the gene named odorant-binding protein 2b-like, with no coding region annotated. NCBI's taxonomy places the organism in Eukaryota, Metazoa, Chordata, Mammalia, Primates, Cebidae. The record is from RefSeq and is a predicted model, not a curated record. The transcript is spliced from 5 exons.
GGGUCACGUGUGCAGCCUGGAUGGUAGGGCAAGGACAGCAGCAGCUGCAAAGAAAACCCAUUUUUCAGAUUUCAGGGACAUGGUAUAUCAAGGCCAUUGCAGCAAAAAAGGGCAUUUUAGGGAAGAACGUGUCCCCCGUCAUACUCUCAUUGCUGAGCAGCGGUAACAUACAGGCCUCCUUCACGAAGAGGUGAGCAUCUGCCCAGAUCCACCGUGCUCCCUCUGUCCCAGGCCAGUCAGGGGCCACAGAGCCGGGGUCCUUCUGCUCUCUCACUGGCGUGGGGUGCCGCUAAAUGUCCCCUAACUGGAGGGGAAGGGCUCCCAGGGGCAGCUCAGCUGGGAGGAGGGGGCAGUGGACCUCUGGCAGGGUUGGGGUUCCUAUGUUGCUUCCAGGUCUGGGGUGGGGAGGUCCCGGCACGUCUCCCAAAGCAGAGAUAGACGCUAGGCCACACCCUGCCCACCUGAUUUCUGCUUUCCAGGAGCAAUGGUCAGUGCCACAAAAUAGACAUGAUUCUGGAGAAAACUAGGGUGCCUGGCAGAUACAGAACCUGUGAGUUCCGGCUGGGGCCCUGCACUUCCUACACAUGGAGGGCUCCUCUGUGAGGGACCACCGCCUGUUUUUCUCUGAAUUGCAAUUUGAGGGGGAAAGAUUCCAAGUAGCCAAGCUCAUGGGUAGGAAUCCCGGUGUCAACACAAAGGCCCUGGAAGAAUUUAAGAAAUUCGCUCAGCGCAAGGGAUUCCUGAAAGAUGACAUCUUUAUACCCCUGCAGACAGAAAGCUGCAGUCCUGAACCACACUAGGGGCAAGGGACACCUUGUCUCUUCAGAAGCCCCAGAGCAGCACCACUUGGCACCUCUGUCCUGCCCAGGGACUUGAGAAAAUGCACCCCCCAGCCCAGCCAGCUGCCCCCUACCACCACCCCGUUCCCUGUGCCCCCUCUCCUGGUUCUCCAUAAAAA